GAAAUACCCCCUUCAUUUGAAAAUACUUGUCAUUAAAAUGGAUAAAAAUGGGUGUAUCUAGAACUAAUAUACAUUUAGAUACAUCCGCUUUUAUUCAUUUUGAUAACAAGUAUUUCCGGACGGAUGGAGUAUAAG
Molecule: non-coding RNA, 135 nt
Organism: Triticum aestivum (bread wheat)
Lineage: Eukaryota; Viridiplantae; Streptophyta; Magnoliopsida; Poales; Poaceae
Source: Rfam